GGGUUUGAUCCUGGCUCAGGAUGAACGCUAGCGGCGUGCCUAAUGCAUGCAAGUCGAACGGGAUCCUUUGAUUCGUCGAAGGUGAUAGUGGCGCACGGGUGAGUAACACGUUGGUGACCUACCCCAGAGAGGGGGAUAACCAGUGGAAACGCUGGCUAAUACCCCGGAUGUCAAGACAUUUAGAAAGUCUUGACUAAAGCUCCGGCGCUCUGGGAGGGGCCUGCGGUCCAUCAGCUUGUUGGUAGGGUAACGGCCUACCAAGGCGAAGACGGAUAGGGGGCGUGAGAGCGUGACCCCCCACACUGGUACUGACACACGGACCAGAUACCUGCGGGUAGCAGCAGCAAGGAAUAUUGCGCAAUGGACGAAAGUCUGACGCAGCAACGCCGCGUGGAGGACGAAGGCCUUCGGGUCGUAAACUCCUUUACUGGGGGAAGAGAAAGGACGGUACCCCAGCAACAAGAUCCGGCUAACUACGUGCCAGCAGCCGCGGUAAAACGUAGGGAUCGAGCGUUAUCCGGAUUUACUGGGCGUAAAGCGCGUGCAGGCGGUUUUCUAAGUCGGACGUGAAAGCUCCUGGCUCAACUGGGAGAGGCCGUUCGAAACUGGAAGACUUGAGGAUGGUAGAGGUAAGUGGAAUUCCCGGUGUAGUGGUGAAAUGCGUAGAUAUCGGGAGGAACACCAGUGGCGAAGGCGGCUUACUGGGCCAUUCCUGACGCUGAGACGCGAAAGCUAGGGGAGAGAACGGGAUUAGAAACCCCGGUAUUCCUAGCCGUAAACGAUGUCAACUAGGUGUAGGGGGUAUCCAACCCCCCUGUGCUGUAGCUAACGCGUUAAGUUGACCGCCUGGGGACUACGGCCGCAAGGCUAAAACUCAAAGGAAUUGACGGGGACCCGCACAAGCAGCGGAGCGUGUGGUUUAAUUCGAGCUACGCGAAGAACCUUACCAGGGUUUGACAUAUACGUGGUAGGAAGCUGAAAAGUGACUGACCCUUCGGGGAGCGUAUACAGGUGCUGCAUGGCUGUCGUCAGCUCGUGUCGUGAGAUGUUAGGUUAAGUCCUGUAACGAGCGCAACCCUCGUCGUUAGUUAUACGUGUCUAACGAGACUGCCGGUGAUAAGCCGGAGGAAGGUGGGGAUGACGUCAAGUCAGCAUGGCCUUUAUAUCCUGGGCUACACACACGCUACAAUGGCCGGUACAAUGGGUUGCCAAGCCGCGAGGCGGAGCCAAUCCUCCAAAGCCGGUCUCAGUUCGGAUUGUAGGCUGCAACUCGCCUGCAUGAAGUCGGAGUUGCUAGUAAACGCGCGUCAGCAACAGUGCGUUGAAUACGUUCCCGGGUCUUGUACACACCGCCCGUCACGUCAUGGAAGUUGGCAACGCCUGAAGUCAGUGAGCUAACCUUACGGAGGCAGCUGCCCAAGGCGGGGUCGGUAACUGGGACGAAGUCGUAACAAGGUA
This 1458-nucleotide ribosomal RNA is filed under the name metagenome. RNAcentral's name for it is "bacterial SSU rRNA". It matches the Rfam family "Bacterial small subunit ribosomal RNA". The record is from RNAcentral.